Molecule: long non-coding RNA, 9405 nt
Organism: Hypanus sabinus (Atlantic stingray)
Lineage: Eukaryota; Metazoa; Chordata; Chondrichthyes; Myliobatiformes; Dasyatidae
Exons: 3
Source: RefSeq, a predicted model, not a curated record
UCUAUCUUGGUGGAUGAAUGCAAUAAGGCACUCAAUCAAAAUAAAACUAUAAAAUCUUUAAUUAAGCUUUUCUACAUUACUUGUUAACAUUGGGGAGAAGUGACUAUGCUUAUUGUUAAAUUAUAUGCAAUUUCUCAGUUUGAUAUCCUCCACCACACGUUAAUCUUCAACGUUCUGGCAUCAGUUUGUCUCUUUUGCACUUCAGAAUUACAAUACUUGAACAAGUGUAAGAGCUCUGAGCUUUUUUGUUUCGUGCGGUAGUCUCCUAGUACUAUUACAUUUCCCACCCAUUUCAGGAUGAGGAUGCAAAACUGGUUUGUUCAGAGGUUGAGAUAGUGGGCAUUUUUCUUUUAUAUAGCCAGGGAUGUCUCUGUGCUCUGCCCAAUGUUUGUCACUUAUUAGGACAACUAAUUGGACUGCUUAGUCUUUUCUAUCUUUCUUAUAAGUUGUUCUAAUUUGCCAGCUGAAUGGUACCUGUAAAUUAUCAGAAAAAAAGUGGUUUUUGAAGCACUUCGAACAAUUCUGAGUGUCUUGUAAUGUUACAGGAUAAAUAUCUUCCAUCCUCUUUUGUUUUUAUCUGCAGCAUAUUUCCAAUUUCUCAGCUUGUUUCCCCCAAAUUCUCCACCUCACCAGCCUCCGCAUCCAGCACCUAAUUCUCUGGAAAUUCUGCCAUCUCUAAUGGGAUCCCACAAACAAGCACUUACUUCCCUCUCUCCCUGUUACUGCUUUCCAUAGGGAUCACUCCCUAUAUGACUCUCUUAUCCACUAGUACCUCCCCACUGAUCUCCCUCCUGGUACUUAUCCUUGCAAGCGGAACAAAUGCCAUACCUGCCCCUACAGCUCCCUCUACCUCACUUACUUCCAAUAAAUGCCAAUAGCUUCCGUUAUUAUGAUCAGAGAAACUGACUGGCCACUUCACACUUCCCUACACAGUCACUAAGCUUUACCUUUCUAAUUGCUCUCUCUUGUCUAAGUUUCUGCUCAAUAGAACUAAACUGUAGCUUCUUUGACUCUAUUCCCAAUCCUGAAUUUCAUUCCUACCACCUUAUUGAAAUUUCCAAUGUCAAAUGUUGUGUACAUCGAUGUUUGUAACUAUGUUAAAUUACAGAAUCAUGGAAAUGUAUAGUAAGGAAUCUGUCCCUUAGUACAGUUCACUUCAUCUGUGCCAACUAUGUCUCUCUACAUUUAACCAAUUUGCCUGCAUUGGGCCCAUAUCCCUCUACUCAUUUUUUACCUAAGUACUUGUCCAAAUGUUUUAAAUGCUAUAAUUGUAUCUGUCUACUCCACCUUCUCUGGCAACUCAUUCCAAACAUUCACCAUUUUCUCUGGGGUGGAAACCUUCCUUUUCAUAUCUCCUUUAAAUUUUUCUUCUAUCUCCUUAAAUAUUUCCUUCCAGCUCUAGACUCCCCUGCCCUGGGAAAAAUACCGUCUAUCCAAUCUAUGCUGUUCAUAAUUUGUAAACCUCAAAAUGGUCACCUUCAGCUUUCUACACUUCAGCAAGAAUAAAUUCAGUCCAUACAAUUUCAUCUCAUAACCCCAACCCUCCAUUCCAGGUAGCACCCGGGUAAAUAUUUUCUGUACUCUCUCUACUGAUGCUACAUCAUUCCUGUAGUGUGUUGAUGAGAACUGUAAGUGAGGUCCAACCAAUAUUAUAUACAAUUGCAACAUGACAUCUUAACUAUUAUAUUCUUCAGCCUAUGCAGGCAAACAUAGCCUUUUUCACCCUAUCCACCCGAGUCAUUACUUCCAGGCCUGCACCCCGAGGUCUCUUUGUACUGUACAUCCACACACCUAAGUCCCUGCCAUUUAGUUCAUGUGUCCUAACAGAACUUGACCAGCCAAAUUGCAUUACUUUGCAUUUGUCUGGAUUAAUUUCUCGUUCCCUCUGUGUCUGGAGGACACGUUCAGCGUGGUCCUGCGGAUUGGCAUUUUGUAACUCUUACAUUCUUUUGUUGAUUACAAAAAAACAGCUGGAGUAACUCAGCAGGUUAGACCCAAGUGCUGAGAUCCUGCAUCAGAAUUGAGAGAGUGAAGAUAGCCAGAAUGAAGACGUGAGGGAGAGGAUUAAGGGAGGAGGAGAGUUGAGGACAGGUUGAUGGGGGAGGGGAGAGUUUUGAGACAGAGGAUGUAGGUAAUUGGUGGAAACAGAAAAGGGAGAAAAUUAGGCAGAUGAGGCCAGGUUUGGGGAAAUGUAGAGAUGGUGGCUGGGAGAUAAGAAUUGGGACAGAGAAGAGAGAAGUGAUGGGCAAACGGAACUGGAUGGGGGUGAGUAACACAUCUAGUUAAUGGAGGCUGCAUGAGGAGUGAAAGAGAGACCCCCUAGAUGGACUGGUGGGAUUGGAAUUGGUUACCUGAAAUUGUAAAGUUCAUAUUCAUGCCAAUGAGUUGCAGGCUGCCCAUGGAAAAUGAAUAUCUUCUAGCUUAUAUUUGACCUCAUUGAGGUUGAGGAUGGACAGAUUGGUAUGGGAAGUGAGGCCAUUGACGACUGAAUGCAACUUUUCUGGAAACAACUACCUAGUCUACUUGGUUCCCCUGAUAUUGGAGAGGCAGACCGAGAGCACAGAGUUCUGAAUAUGAGGUUGGAUAAGGGGCGUUCUCUGCCGGCCAUCAAUGUGGUGACAGAAGCGUUCCUUGGAUCUUGCCGAUCAGCUGCCUUUUUGAUAUCUCCAGGAGUGGCCUGAAGAUGGGUGCAUUCGGAGUGCAACCUGGCGCGAUGGAGUAGACUCGAUUUCUUACUAGUGUUGUGAAUUGAAGUGUCACAGAGAACCAGAACAUCAUGGCAGCGAAUGUGGCUGUCAGAGACUUCCAUUCUCGGAUGAUCACCCUCUCUCUCUCUCUCUCGAUGGUGAGGGAGAGUUUGCUACUGAUUCGUAAGUUGGGGGAAUUUGAAAUAAAAGUGGUGCUACAGACAGUCUGUAAAUUCAAAACAGUGAUUGUUUGUCUUCCCUGUCUCUGAGGAAGGAGUGAUAUCUCUCUCUCCCUUAUUAGGGAAAAAGAGAGUGAGCUUGAGGGAUGUCGAGCUGUUGGGAUGAACAGUAGUUUUUGAUGGACUGUAGAUCAUGGUCUCUCUUUGAGCCUUUUCUAUUGCUUGCAUGGUGGGUGGUGGGGCUGUGAUGUUUUCUGCUAGAAUAACGACGGGGAGGGGUAGGGGAUGGUUGAUGCUGCUUGUGUGUGAGGGGGAGGGGACUUUGGGCUUCCUAUGUUUUUUUCCUAUCAUUCAUUCUUUAGAGUUUUUUCUACUGUUUCAAGGAUGUCUGUGGAGAAUAAGAAUUUCAGGUUGUGUAUUGUAUACGUUCUCUGAUAUUAAAUGGAACCAUUGAACCAGAACCAGCCUGCGAGUGUCAGGAAGACCUGGAUGGUGGAUCCAGGGUCCAUGUCCAUGUGCUGCCUGAGAGCCUUCAAAUAUAUUCAGUGGCCACUUCAUUAUGUGGAGGAUGUACCCACCAAAAUGUCCACUGAGUGUAUUUGUGGUCUUCUGCUUUGUAGCCCAUCCACUUCAACAUGGGCGUGUUGUGCAUUCAGAAAUACUCUUCUGCACACAGCUGUUGUAAUGUGUGGUUAUUUGAGCUUCUGUUGCUUUCCUGUUAGCUUGGAUUAGUCUGGCCAUUCUUCUCGACCUCUCUCAUCAACAAGGCAUUUUUGCCCACAGAUCUGCCAUUCACUGGACACUUUUUGGUUUAUGCAAUGUUCUCUGUAAGCUUAUUUAAGCGGACGCCUGAUUAGCGCAAAUAGUGGGUUUCUAGUUUGUCCAAGUUCUUAUGGAAUUAUUAUGAAUAAACUCUCAUCACCAUCUCUACAUUAAACUUUCUCUUUUCUCCUCACUUGGGUUCCAUUGUUGCCAGCACACACCAUAACAGAAGGACUCCACCAAGUAAUGGUCCCAGUGGAGGUUUAACAGUGCUGUUCUGACAUUAGGUGAGAAUUAAGUGAGAAUACCAUCUGUUCUCAAGUCCACAUUCUGAGUUUCUCAAGUUUAUGUUCUGAGCAUCUCUAGUCUGUAUUCUGAGCUUGUCAAGUUUUCAUUCCAAGUGUCUCUAGUAUACAUUCUGAGUUUCCCUGGUCUCCUUUAGAGCUCUUCAAUUUGUAACUGCUCAGUUCCAAGCUUCAGGGUCCUUUGACCCAGGUCUGCAUAACAAUUGAGUGUUUCAAGCAAGCUCAUUAAAAAAGUUCAUUUGAUUCAACAAAUCAACAUGCAAGCUAAUAAUAUAAAUUUUUGAAGAGCUUAACCUUUGCUGAUGCUUUUCCUUCCAAGUAAUGAUAUGACUUUGUUAAUGUCAAAUCAAUGUUUGGAAGGACACUAUAGGGAAUAAUUGAAAUAAGCUUCAGUGGCAGCAAUAGCAGUGGGAUGGACUAACAUUUACAAUACAUAAUUCCCAUCUGUCCGUUCUGAUGAGUGAUACUAAUGGUAGCAAACAUUCUAGUGUGCAAGUGUGUCCUGAAGCAGUAAUUUGAAUUGGCAGCCCUGAAGAGCCCUGCUCCAAAAGCUGAUCCCUGGCUGGAGUGUACAACCACACAAGUAAAGUAACCCUACUAAAAGUUAGCUACUGUAAACUUAACUCUUGAUAAAAAUCAUGAUACAGACUGAGAAUAUUGAACUUCUAUGUAACAAAUGAAACAGAUCUGCAGACAGCCAGAUAUCUCAGUGAUAAGAAGAGCCUGUCUAUGCUGUCUCAAUCUGUAAAAUUGAGACUACAGCUUUCUGUAUCCUAAUUGCCUCUGGACAAAUAGUGAAGAAUAAAACACUAUGAAUAAGAUUCAUCCAGGAUCCUUCCCCAGCUUUUGAGUUCCAAGUUUUCAAGACUUUUUCGGGGUCUCAAUGAUUUUUCCAGGUCUAAGUGCCCAGUGUCAGCAUCCUAGCCUAAGCAUUCAAGAUUCUCAAGAUUACCCAGGUUGUCAAAGUUUUCCAGCUCAUCAAGGUUCUUCAGAUCAUCAAGGCCCUCCAGGUUUCCAAGGACAAAUCAAGGUUUCCAAGGAUGUUUCAAGGUUUUCAAGGACCUUCCAAAGUUUCCAAAGAUCUUUCAAGGUCUUUCCAAAGUUUCCAAUGUUUUUUUUCAAUGUUCUCCCCAUCUUGAGGACACCCAAGUCUAUAACAAGAUUCCCAAUUCUCUUUUGUUUCUAGGUCUCUUUCUUGAGUUCCUUAAGUCUCUCAAGACAUCCCUAGAUCUUGAGUUGCGAGCUCUCCCUGGGCCUUCAGAUGCCAGCCAUAGGAAGGGAGUGGUACUGUAGAAAGGUCUUCGGGCCUGUGCAAGGUGCUGGAGGGUGUUGGGUUUCAAGGUUUUUAGAGCACCUGAAUUGUUUAAUCAUUAUUUAAAAUGAGUCGUUAAUGGUUUAGGGUCCCUUAUGUUUUUUUUCUUGAAUGACUCACUCUUUGUAAUGCUUUCUCCUGGUACUUUCUGGUUAAGGUUGUUAAGUUUAUUUCGAUAGGCUUGGGGAUUCUGUAUUACUUGUAUUAUUUAAGUGAAUGUCAAUUAGUGGUAAUCGCGGGGUCCUAGUUUUGAGAAUGUGACUUCACAUGGUGUUGGUCAGCUGAGCCACCGAUAUUCUUUUGGAAUUAUUAUGGAUAAACUUUCAUCACUGUCUCUAUAUCGGAGUCUGACUUUCCUCUGCACUUGGGUUCCAAUAUUGCCAGCGCAAAACAGUGAUAGGAUGAAACCAGUUCAAAUGGAUGAUUAGAACAGAUGGAAGCUAAUUAUGUGAUUGGCUGCAUUAUGUGCUGCUAAUAGCAAAGUUUUGUGGGACAAAUUACGAACAGUACUUCGAAUCAGUGGCAGGCCUAACGAGGGAGCAGGAGAUCAGAUGGGCCUAAAUCUGGUCUCAGCAGAUUCCAAAACUUUAUGAUGCUGGCGCCUUUACAAUCAAUGCCUUGCUGCUGAUGUGCUGAGAUAACUAACUGCAGAGAGUUUUAUUCCGAGUGUAUCCAUGUCAGGUAAGAAAGCAUUUUUCAGUAAUCUACUUAUAUUCAGACUUGCUCAACAGAGUAGGUCUCUCCCGAAUUACUUGUUUUUUUAAAAAAUUAAUGUAUAUAAUAAUUGCAUAGCAAUGAAUAUUCACUAUUCCUUCUUUCUCACUUUUUUUUGCAGAUUAUACAACUGCAGUGAUUCCCUGUCUGCUCUUCUGUUCUGACUGGCUCAUAUAGGAUAACAUGAGAAGAUGAGGAGCUUAUCUUUCAACAUUACGAGCUUCUAAGGCAGCGUGGUAGCUAUGUAUUUGCAGAAUCUGCUUGGUGCAUUACUGCUUAUCAGUUGGAAAGCCUGAUCUGAUUAUUUGAGGGAAUGGCUUGUACACAGGUGUUCUUCUGAAGACCCUGACCUGGAGUUACACGCUGACUUUGGUUCUUCGUGGAAAUGGGACCUGUUCUCGGAGCUCCACGACUGGCUGUUGUUCGACAUGCCAAGGGUUUGGCCUGAGAGUCUUGAUCAUGUCGGAAACCUAAGUCCUCAGGGCUCUGGAAGUGGACUAAUUGAGGGUUGGUGUCAUGGCAGGAGACUAGUAUGUCAUUGGGGAGGCUGGAAAAUCUUUCACUGUGGGACUGCAGACCUGAGGUCUUUGUGAUCUUUAGACACAGAGCUUAAAAAAAGCAAUGAAAUGGGCUUUUUUAACAUCGUAAACCAGAAGGUUUUUUUUAUGUCUCCCGCUUGCUGUGAAAAUGAGGGACAUUUCCCUCUCCCUUGCCAGGGAGAGAGAGAACCUUUGGUUUAUCAAAUGUUGGAUGAAGUGAGAGGCCUUUGGGGUAACUUUGGUCUGUGUCUUUGCUAUUGCUUAGCACACGUUUGAGCUCAGUGAUGGUACUGAUGUGUUUUUUGCUGGUGAGGGGAUAGGGGAUUGUUGCUCGCUGCCGCUUACGCACGGUGGGGAGCUGGGGGGGUGACUUUGGUGUUCUCAUGUUUAACUGUCAUUCAUUAUUUGGGGCACUUGUCUGUUUUUGUGGAUGUUUAUGAAGAAAAACCAUUUCAGGAUGUAUGUUGUAUACAUUUCUCUGAUAUUAACUUUGACCUUUGAACCUUUAAGAUGUAUUACAGAUCAAGCCAUUAAGACCAUGUAAGUAAAAAAUACUAUUAAAACAUUGGGAGGAUUGUAUAUUAACGUGUUGAAGGUUAGCUUUAUUUUUCACAUAUAUAUUGAAACAUAAAUGAAACGCAUAAUUUUUUUGUCAACAACCAGCACAUUCUGAGGAUUGAGCUGGGGACAGCUUGCAAAUGUCACCAUACUUUCGGCACCAACAUAGCAUGCCCACAGCUCACGAACGCUAACCUUACGAGUGGUGAUAGAUAAGUUAUUAACUUCAAACUUUCUGCAUAAUCACUCAGUUGAACUGGAUGUAACGAGAGCUGUAUAACUCAUCUCCUUCUACUUAGGCCACAAACUUAUCAAUCACCCCUGCUGUGAACCACUUUCUGGAGGUCCAAGGCACCGAUUUCUGUAAAGGAGGGAUCUGUAUGCUCCACAACUGCUGGACUAAGUGUGUAAAUAUAGGAGGGGACUAUGUUGAAAAAUAAAUGUGCUAGGUUUUCUAAAAUUGACGCCGUCUACCUUAGGCCACGAAUUUAUCAAUCACCCCUCAUAACUGUCUUUGGAAUAUGGGUGGAAACCCAGAUGGUCACAGGGAGAAUGUACAAACUCCUUACAGACAGCAGUAGGAAUUGACCCCUGAUCAAUGACUGCUGACUGCUUCACUACCAUCCCGCCCAACCUUUAAUGAACUUCUCAAGCCACUCGCUGAUAGUUCAUCUUGUUCUCCUAUGAAAUAAGACUAUAAUUUAUAUAAAAUAUAUAAGAUUAAUCCAAUUUUUGUUCCUGUUACUAGUUAUGAGUUCAAGCAAGAUGUUUCUGUUGAAAGACACAAGAACCAAUAUUGAAAGUGGAGCAAUUUAGAACACAAAAUAUUAUCUGAAUGCCUUGGUUCAAAUAGUUUCACCUGUAGAUUGUUGGAUGUACAGGGUGGAAAUAACAAGGUCACUGGACUAUGUGCCCAAUAAAAUCAUAUUGAGAUAGUGAGGAAAUAUUAAGAAAGAUGGCGUAUUAAAAUUGACAAAAAUAAUGACACCAUUCCUUCAGAAGAAAAGGGAAGGAGAAGUAAUAAGAAUGCUUUUAAAUUUGAUAUUUUAAAAUAUGUCAGAAGAUAAUUUUUUGCAGGAUGACAAUAGUUUUAACCAUUCAGUACCAGAAGUUGAUUGGCAGUAAUCAAUGAUGGUGAUGUUUUGGAAAGGCUACUUAUGUACUAUUGAAUGCUAGAGAUUGUCUGUCUGUUUGGUGAGCUUUGAAGGUGCAAAAGCAGCAGAUUCAUGAAUUGAACAGAGAAAUUCAAAGUAUCAUAUUUUUCUUUGCAGAAUAAUGCAACUUGUCCAGUAAUGAGCAAUCUCCAGGUAUUUCAUCCUCAUCCCAUGUUGCUCUCAAUGUGUGCCUUAACGGUGGCAUACCAUUUCAACUUACAGCAAUCUUGUGCAAAAUGACUGUGCAGUUGACUUGAAAUUUAGUUUUUAAAUGUUUCUAUAAAAGCUUUAACACAAUAAAAUUAACCUACUUAAUCUGUUGGUCACUAAUCUUUCAAUUCACUGAUUCACGUUCCUUAGUCACUUUGCCAAUUUCAUAUGAGUAAAAAGAAUUUUGAAAGGUGAUGACUCUGUAUGCAGAAUAUUUAAAAAAGUUGUUGCACUAUCGUCUAUUUAUUGGCAUAUUUUUAAUCCCAGCUGUGAGAAGAAAGGGUAUUUGAUUUGGGUAACAUUCAUAACAUAAGCAUCUGCUCUGCCAAUCAUGUAGAAGCAUUGUUACAUGGCCUUGCUACCAACUUUUUGAUACUAUGAUGCGUUCACUUACUAGGGUGGUGCAAGUUGGGGAGAUGUAUGCAAGGGAUUGUUAAUAACGGUUUUUCUAACCAAGGUAUUGCAAUACUUUAAAAGGUACAAUAAUUUUUAACUGUUCUGGAAGCUUCUAUAGAGCAAUUUUUCAGGUCUAGAAACUCCUCAGAAUUCAAAGGAAAUUAUUGCAGAUAGCAUUUUUGAUGGUACUGGUAAAGAAUCCAGAAUUUUAAAGCUACUUCAUUAGAAAAAGUCAAACAGUUGAUAAUAUUGGCUGCAAAAUGAUAACCAUCAAUUAGUUUUAUUAAUUUCUGUUUCAGAAGUGCUUAUAAUUAAAUCCUUUUGUGGUGAUAUCACGUGCAAUGAUGUGCCAGUACAUGAUUGGACAGAGCACCUUUCAUGUGUGGGAUUACCAGAAUGUUCCAGCACAUGGCUGGGUUAAGAUGUGUUUGUUUAUUACUGUAAAUAAAAGUUUUCUAAUUCUUCCACAAUAUGAUUCUUUACUGUUAACCCAUGGUACGUUUAAACAGAAGUAACAUAACACCUUUCACAAUUUUGCAUUUCAGCAGCUGUUUUCUUGCAUUGUGCCGUAAAUGGUUUGAAUGUUAUA